This 22-nucleotide non-coding RNA is filed under the name Arabidopsis thaliana (thale cress). Lineage: Eukaryota; Viridiplantae; Streptophyta; Magnoliopsida; Brassicales; Brassicaceae. The record is from RNAcentral.
GUCAAUAUGUCCGAGUGGUUAA